AAGAUUUUAAGUUAAGAAAACUAUUUAUUUUCAAAAUAAAAAUUAAUUUUGAAUUAGAUCUUU
RNAcentral lists this transfer RNA (63 nucleotides) under Echinolaelaps echidninus. RNAcentral describes it as "tRNA-Trp". Lineage: Eukaryota; Metazoa; Arthropoda; Arachnida; Mesostigmata; Laelapidae. The record is from RNAcentral.